GUAAACGAUGUCGAUUUGGAGGUUGUUCCCUUGAGGAGUGGCUUCCGGAGCUAACGCGUUAAAUCGACCGCCUGGGGAGUACGGCCGCAAGGUUAAAACUCAAAUGAAUUGACGGGGGCCCGCACAAGCGGUGGAGCAUGUGGUUUAAUUCGAUGCAACGCGAAGAACCUUACCUACUCUUGACAUCCAGAGAAUUUAGCAGAGAUGCUUUAGUGCCUUCGGGAACUCUGAGACAGGUGCUGCAUGGCUGUCGUCAGCUCGUGUUGUGAAAUGUUGGGUUAAGUCCCGCAACGAGCGCAACCCUUAUCCUUUGUUGCCAGCACAUUAUGGUGGGAACUCAAAGGAGACUGCCGGUGAUAAACCGGAGGAAGGUGGGGAUGACGUCAAGUCAUCAUGGCCCUUACGAGUAGGGCUACACACGUGCUACAAUGGCGUAUACAAAGAGAAGCGACCUCGCGAGAGCAAGCGGAACUCAUAAAGUACGUCGUAGUCCGGAUUGGAGUCUGCAACUCGACUCCAUGAAGUCGGAAUCGCUAGUAAUCGUAGAUCAGAAUGCUACGGUGAAUACGUUCCCGGGCCUUGUACACACCGCCCGUCACACCAUGGGAGUGGGUUGCAAAAGAAGUAGGUAGCUUAACCUUCGGGAGGGCGCUUACCACUUUGUGAUUCAUGACUGGGGUGAAGUCGUAACAAGGUAACCA
RNAcentral lists this ribosomal RNA (701 nucleotides) under uncultured Providencia sp. RNAcentral describes it as "bacterial SSU rRNA". It matches the Rfam family "Bacterial small subunit ribosomal RNA", at positions 802 to 1502 of the family's 1533-position model. Lineage: Bacteria; Pseudomonadati; Pseudomonadota; Gammaproteobacteria; Enterobacterales; Morganellaceae. The record is from RNAcentral.